Molecule: non-coding RNA, 74 nt
Filed under: uncultured Eubacterium sp.
Lineage: Bacteria; Bacillati; Bacillota; Clostridia; Eubacteriales; Eubacteriaceae
Description: Cyclic di-GMP-I riboswitch
Rfam family: c-di-GMP-I riboswitch aptamer
About the family: GEMM was predicted in a large-scale screen for bacterial structured RNA regulatory elements. Genes associated with GEMM are involved in a diverse array of functions, including chemotaxis regulation, signal transduction, secretion and chitin.
Source: RNAcentral
GGGCAAAACAAGGGAAACCUUGUGACGCAAAGCUAAAGGGCCUGAAGGAAUCAUCUAUUGGCAGCCAGUUGCAG